RNAcentral lists this long non-coding RNA (208 nucleotides) under Panax ginseng (ginseng). RNAcentral's name for it is "long non-coding RNA (PGIN_LNC009297)". Lineage: Eukaryota; Viridiplantae; Streptophyta; Magnoliopsida; Apiales; Araliaceae. The record is from RNAcentral.
UUUCAAGCUAUUGUACUUUUUCUUUUCUUUUCUUUUUUAGGUCUUCAAACAUUAAAAUUCACUAACAUCAGUUGAACAUAGCUACUCUUUAACUGCUACAUACAAUGUGAUUGGCAUUAAUGUCAUGUUCAAUAAUGGUACAUGGGGUAAAAUAUAUGAGGAUCAGAGUAUUAGAAGUGGAUAACAUAGACGAGUCCUUUUCAAUAUU